GUCGCUGCAAAAUCAGCGACCGGGCGUGGAAACCCGUUUGAAAACUUGGCGCACAGGCGCCCCCAUUACGAUUGCAGGCGUCUUUUUU
This 88-nucleotide small RNA is filed under the name Pseudomonas sp. RIT-PI-r. RNAcentral's name for it is "isrK". It matches the Rfam family "isrK Hfq binding RNA". Lineage: Bacteria; Pseudomonadati; Pseudomonadota; Gammaproteobacteria; Pseudomonadales; Pseudomonadaceae. The record is from RNAcentral.